RNAcentral lists this ribosomal RNA (257 nucleotides) under uncultured bacterium. Its description in RNAcentral is "partial 16S ribosomal RNA". It matches the Rfam family "Bacterial small subunit ribosomal RNA", at positions 524 to 777 of the family's 1533-position model. The record is from RNAcentral.
UACGGGAGGGUGCAAGCGUUAUCCGGAUUCACUGGGGUUUAAAGGGUGCGUAGGUGGGCAGGUAAGUCAGUGGUGAAAUCUCCGGGCUUAACCCGGAAACUGCCAUUGAUACUAUCUGUCUUGAAUACCGUGGAGGUGAGCGGAAUAUGUCAUGUAGCGGUGAAAUGCUUAGAUAUGACAUAGAACACCAAUUGCGAAGGCAGCUCACUACACGAAUAUUGACACUGAGGCACGAAAGCGUGGGGAGUCAAACAGGA